ACUACUCUAGUGGUUAUCUCAGUCCAAAGACUCAUUAUUCUAGCAGUUCACUUUUUUGUUAUUAGGAUUUAAAUUGUAAGUAAAAAAAACCGAUAAGAUCGUUAAACCGUUGUGGCUUCUGAAGAAAAUAAUUUUCAAGCAAGUUCGUAUUGAAUAUUGAAUUCGAAUAUGUUUUCGAGUUGCUUGGUUGCUGCUGUCUUUUUGUUACAUUAUGCUUCUACGAACCCAGUGAAAGGAUACGUUGCAGUAACAUACUCUCUUAGCAAUGACGUGGUAAUUGAAACUUUGCCAAGUUUACAGCUAUAAAAAUUUGGAGAGCAGCUGUAAUAUUUUGGAGCUAUUUAUAAGAUAUAACCUAAACUACCAUCCUGAUUUUGUCAUAUCUACAAUAGAUAAAAGAUUGACCUUCAAAAGGGAUAUCUAAUGAAGUUUAGCAUUAAUACCCAGAUGAAAAUUGAUUGCGUUAUUUUUA
Long non-coding RNA from Leptinotarsa decemlineata (Colorado potato beetle), 472 nucleotides. NCBI's taxonomy places the organism in Eukaryota, Metazoa, Arthropoda, Insecta, Coleoptera, Chrysomelidae. The record is from RefSeq and is a predicted model, not a curated record.